AGCAGCCGCGGUAAUUCCAGCUCCAAUAGCGUAUAUUAAAGUUGUUGUGGUUAAAAAGCUCGUAGUUGAACCUUGGGCCUGGCUGGCCGGUCCGCCUCACCGCGUGUACUGGUCCGGCCGGGCCUUUCCCUCUGUGGAACCCCAUGCCCUUCACUGGGUGUGGCGGGGAAACAGGACUUUUACUGUGAAAAAAUUAGAGUGCUCCAGGCAGGCCUAUGCUCGAAUACAUUAGCAUGGAAUAAUAGAAUAGGACGUGUGGUUCUAUUUUGUUGGUUUCUAGGACCGCCGUAAUGAUUAAUAGGGACAGUCGGGGGCAUCAGUAUUCAAUUGUCAGAGGUGAAAUUCUUGGAUUUAUUGAAGACUAACUACUGCGAAAGCAUUUGCCAAGGAUGUUUUCAUUAAUCAGGAACGAAAGUUAGGGGAUCGAAGACGAUCAGAUACCGUCGUAGUCUUAACCAUAAACUAUGCCGACUAGGGAUCGGACGGUGUUAUUUUUUGACCCGUUCG
Molecule: small RNA, 507 nt
Filed under: uncultured Paraglomus
Lineage: Eukaryota; Fungi; Glomeromycota; Glomeromycetes; Paraglomerales; Paraglomeraceae
Description: SSU rRNA
Rfam family: Eukaryotic small subunit ribosomal RNA
Source: RNAcentral